RNAcentral lists this ribosomal RNA (428 nucleotides) under Acremonium sp. enrichment culture clone FZC4. RNAcentral describes it as "eukaryotic LSU rRNA". The stretch from base 57 to 210 matches the Rfam family "5.8S ribosomal RNA". Lineage: Eukaryota; Fungi; Ascomycota. The record is from RNAcentral.
CAAAACUCACUGAUUCCACGGUGUAUCUUCUGAGUGACACAAGCAAAUAAAAUCAAAACUUUCAACAACGGAUCUCUUGGUUCUGGCAUCGAUGAAGAACGCAGCGAAAUGCGAUAAGUAAUGUGAAUUGCAGAAUUCAGUGAAUCAUCGAAUCUUUGAACGCACAUUGCGCCCGCCAGUAUUCUGGCGGGCAUGCCUGUUCGAGCGUCAUUUCAACCCUCAAGCCCCCGGGCUUGGUGCUGGGGAUCGGCCGUCACGGGCCGGCCCCGAAAUCGAGUGGCGGUCUCGCUGUAGCCUCCUCUGCGUAGUAGCAACACCUCGCACUGGAACGCGGCGCGGCCACGCCGUAAAACCCCCAACUUCUGAAGGUUGACCUCGGAUCAGGUAGGAAUACCCGCUGAACUUAAGCAUAUCAAUAAGCGGAGGAA